This 233-nucleotide unclassified non-coding RNA is filed under the name Hevea brasiliensis (rubber tree). Lineage: Eukaryota; Viridiplantae; Streptophyta; Magnoliopsida; Malpighiales; Euphorbiaceae. The record is from RNAcentral.
GGAAAAUCGCUUUCUGUCCGAUCGCCGGCGAAAGCGACUCCAUGAAAUAGCAACAGUAUGUGUGUAACUACUGUUUAUGUAAAUGUGGAAGGUAUAUAUAGAGCGAUGGAGAGAUCGGAGACACGUAGGGUGACGGAGAAAGAGAGAAGAGAGAGACAAAAAAACAGUAGUAGAAUUUAGCAGCCAGCCGGAGAAAAGAGAAAUCAAUAGUAUUUUUUAUUUUUUGGAUAUGA